AACGUAGGAGGCAAGCGUUAUCCGGAUUUACUGGGCGUAAAGCGCGUGCAGGUGGUCGUAUAAGUGGUGCGUGAAAGCUCCCAGGCUAAACCGGGAGAGGGCGUGCCAGACUGUAGGACUAGAGAGAGACAGAGGCAAGGAGAAUUCCGGGUGUAGUGGUGAAAUGCGUAGAGAUCCGGAGGAAUACCAGAGGCGAAGGCG
This 201-nucleotide ribosomal RNA is filed under the name uncultured bacterium. Its description in RNAcentral is "partial 16S ribosomal RNA". It matches the Rfam family "Bacterial small subunit ribosomal RNA", at positions 524 to 723 of the family's 1533-position model. The record is from RNAcentral.